UGUAAUAUGCUUCCCCCUGAACAGAUCUCUCCCUCCCCCCUCUCCACCCCCAAAAUGCUUAAAAGGUAACCUGACUCUUUGUUCUGGGCUCAGUCCUUUGGAUAUUAAUCUGACUGGGUUGGCUGGUGCACCUAAAUAAUACAUAUAUCCUCCUCAACCCCAUCGGUCUCUCUGAUUCCUAAAUCAUCCCCAAACAUUUCUGGUGGCCCAUAUGGGGAUUGGAGAUAACAGAUUUACUGUCUCCUUUGCCCAUGGGACUAGGGCCCUGGGGCUGUGGAAGACCUGGCAUCCAAGGCAUGCCAUGGGGGAGUUUCACCCGGAUGGAGACUGGCUCUCCCCGCAUCCUGCCCAGCAGUGCAACUGAACCUGAGAUGGGGCUGCAGGAUGACACCAGCACUUCAGGAACCGCGGAUAAGUCAAGGCCUUCCUCACCGGGACAGAGAAGGAACUAGAGGUGACCAAAGUGUUGUUAAAAGACAUUAUUCCCAGAUUUGGACUGCCUCUAACUCUAAGAUCUCACAAUGGACCAACAUUUGUGGCUGAAAUAGUUCAGGACUUAACUUGACUAUUAAAAAUAAAAUGGAAAUAACAUAUAGCCUACAGACUGCAGAGCUCAGGUAAAGCGAAGAGCAUGAACCAGACACUAAAACAACUGCUGAAGAAAUUGUGUCAAGAAACUCAUCAAAGGUAGGAUCAGGUCUUGCCCAUGGUCCUCCUCCAAGUCAGGUGCACCUCCACCAAGCAAACUGGGUAUUCCCCCUCUGAGAUUUUGUUCAGCCGGCCACCCCCCAUCAUCUGUAGACUAGAAGAAGUAACUUUAAGAAGGCAAAUGCAGACUUUAAGUAUGGCCAUGCAAAAAUGCAUGGCUAGGUAUAGAAAAAUGCCUAUAAGUCUAACAGACCCAGUACACCCUUUCAAACCUAAGGAUUUUCUUUAAGUUAAAAAAUGGAAUCCAACCACUCUAGGACCCAUACAGGAUAGGCCUCAUAUUGUAAUCAUGUCUACUUCUACUGCUG
This 1016-nucleotide long non-coding RNA is filed under the name Homo sapiens (human). RNAcentral's name for it is "HSALNT0384900". The record is from RNAcentral. Lineage: Eukaryota; Metazoa; Chordata; Mammalia; Primates; Hominidae.